RNAcentral lists this long non-coding RNA (375 nucleotides) under Calidris pygmaea (Spoon-billed sandpiper). RNAcentral describes it as "lncRNA (ENSCPGG00000010405.1)". The record is from RNAcentral. Lineage: Eukaryota; Metazoa; Chordata; Aves; Charadriiformes; Scolopacidae.
CUUUUACUGAUAUUAACAAUUAAUUUCAGUUAGCACAUUCUUAAUAUUGUUUGGUAUGUGUGACAUGCCUUCUCCAUUUUCGUAGGGAGAUCAAGGUCAGAGAGGAAUACGUGGAUUAACAGGACCAACAGGAGUGCCUGGACCCGCUGGAGCUAAAGGAGAGCCUGGUGUGCCAGGACGCCUUGGAAUGCCAGGCCCUCCUGGAAGAGCUGUGCCUGGACCAAAGGGUGACAUUGGGUUACCUGGUCUUGCUGGACCAAUUGGAGAACCAGGUUUUGGGCUUCCUGGGGCAAAGGUAGCUCCUAAAUUGGUAAACUAAUUUUCUGGUAGAAUCGUAAAAUAAGGCAGGAUGUCGGUGAAGCAACAGCAAAUUGC